RNAcentral lists this ribosomal RNA (484 nucleotides) under uncultured bacterium. RNAcentral describes it as "partial 16S ribosomal RNA". It matches the Rfam family "Bacterial small subunit ribosomal RNA", at positions 29 to 507 of the family's 1533-position model. The record is from RNAcentral.
AGUGAACGCUGGCGGCAGGCCUAACACAUGCAAGUCGAGCGGCAGCGCGGGGGCAACCCUGGCGGCGAGCGGCGGACGGGUGAGGAAUUCGUCGGAAUCUGCCUUUUUGUGGGGGAUAACGUAGGGAAACUUACGCUAAUGCCGCAUACGUCCUACGGGAGAAAGUGGGGGACCGCAAGGCCUCACGCAGAAAGAUGAGCCGACGACCGAUUAGCUAGUUGGUGGGGUAAAGGCCCACCAAGGCGACGAUCGGUAGCUGGUCUGAGAGGAUGAUCAGCCACACUGGGACUGAGACACGGCCCAGACUCCUACGGGAGGCAGCAGUGGGGAAUAUUGGACAAUGGGCGCAAGCCUGAUCCAGCCAUGCCGCGUGUGUGAAGAAGGCCUUCGGGUUGUAAAGCACUUUUGUCCGGAAAGAAAUCCCUGGAGCUAAUACCUUCGGGGGAUGACGGUACCGGAAGAAUAAGCACCGGCUAACUUCGUA